This is a non-coding RNA of Triticum aestivum (bread wheat), 125 nucleotides long. The record is from Rfam. Lineage: Eukaryota; Viridiplantae; Streptophyta; Magnoliopsida; Poales; Poaceae.
AAAAUACUCCCUCCGUCCGGAAAUACUUGUCGUAGAAAUGGAUAUAAAUGGAUGCAUCUAAAACUAAAAUACAUCUAGAUACAUCCAUUUCUCCCACAAGUAUUUCCAGACGGAGGGGGUAAGUG